RNAcentral lists this ribosomal RNA (435 nucleotides) under uncultured bacterium. RNAcentral's name for it is "partial 16S ribosomal RNA". It matches the Rfam family "Bacterial small subunit ribosomal RNA", at positions 28 to 507 of the family's 1533-position model. The record is from RNAcentral.
GAUGAACGCUGGCGGUAUGCUUAACACAUGCAAGUCGAACGGACUCUUCGGAGUUAGUGGCGGACGGGUGAGUAACGCGUGAGAAUCUGGCUUUGGGUUCGGGACAACCACUGGAAACGGUGGCUAAUACCGGAUGUGCCGAGAGGUAAAAGAGAAAUUGCCUGAAGAUGAGCUCGCGUCUGAUUAGCUAAUUGGUGAGGUAAAGGCUCACCAAGGCAGCGAUCAGUAGCUGGUCUGAGAGGAUGACCAGCCACACUGGGACUGAGACACGGCCCAGACUCCUACGGGAGGCAGCAGUGGGGAAUUAUCCGCAAUGGGCGAGAGCCUGACGGAGCAAUACCGCGUGAGGGAAGAAGUCUCUUGGGUUGUAAACCUCUUUUCUUAGGGAAGAACAAAAUGACGGUACCUAAGGAAUCAGCAUCGGCUAACUCCGUG